UUCAAUUCCUCUAAUUAGCA
This 20-nucleotide transfer RNA is filed under the name Schizosaccharomyces pombe (fission yeast). RNAcentral describes it as "partial transfer RNA". Lineage: Eukaryota; Fungi; Ascomycota; Schizosaccharomycetes; Schizosaccharomycetales; Schizosaccharomycetaceae. The record is from RNAcentral.